This 432-nucleotide ribosomal RNA is filed under the name uncultured bacterium. RNAcentral's name for it is "partial 16S ribosomal RNA". It matches the Rfam family "Bacterial small subunit ribosomal RNA", at positions 29 to 507 of the family's 1533-position model. The record is from RNAcentral.
GCGAACGCUGGCGGCAGGCCUAACACAUGCAAGUCGAACGAACUCUUCGGAGUUAGUGGCGGACGGGUGAGUAACACGUGGGAACGUGCCUUUUGGUUCGGAAUAACUCAGGGAAACUUGUGCUAAUACCGAAUGUGCCCUUCGGGGGAAAGAUUUAUCGCCAUUAGAGCGGCCCGCGUCUGAUUAGCUAGUUGGUGAGGUAACGGCUCACCAAGGCGACGAUCAGUAGCUGGUCUGAGAGGAUGACCAGCCACACUGGGACUGAGACACGGCCCAGACUCCUACGGGAGGCAGCAGUGGGGAAUCUUGCGCAAUGGGCGAAAGCCUGACGCAGCCAUGCCGCGUGAAUGAUGAAGGUCUUAGGAUUGUAAAAUUCUUUCACCGGGGACGAUAAUGACGGUACCCGGAGAAGAAGCCCCGGCUAACCUCGUG